CCUACGGGUGGCAGCAGUGAGGAAUAUUGGUCAAUGGACGAGAGUCUGAACCAGCCAAGUAGCGUGAAGGAUGACUGCCCUAUGGGUUGUAAACUUCUUUUAUAAAGGAAUAAAACGAGGCACGUGUGCCUUUUUGCAUGUACUUUAUGAAUAAGGAUCGGCUAACUCCGUGCCAGCAGCCGCGGUAAUACGGAGGAUCCGAGCGUUAUCCGGAUUUAUUGGGUUUAAAGGGAGCGUAGAUGGGUUGUUAAGUCAGUGGUGAAAGUUUGCGGCUCAACCGUAAAAUUGCAAUUGAUACUGGCAGUCGUGAGUACAGUAGAGGUAGGCGGAAUUCGUGGUGUAGCGGUGAAAUGCUGAGAUAUCACGAAGAACCCCGAUUGCGAAGGCAGCUUACUAAACUGUGACUGACAUUGAUGCUCGAAAGUGUGGGUAUCAAACAGGAUUAGAUACCCCUGUAGUC
RNAcentral lists this ribosomal RNA (460 nucleotides) under uncultured bacterium. RNAcentral describes it as "partial 16S ribosomal RNA". It matches the Rfam family "Bacterial small subunit ribosomal RNA", at positions 338 to 795 of the family's 1533-position model. The record is from RNAcentral.